GGAUACGUGCCUGAACCAUAAGGGUCACCUUGAUAGGGUGAACAAUAGAGGUCAAAAUCCUCUCGUCUCCU
Molecule: transfer RNA, 71 nt
Filed under: Batagur affinis edwardmolli
Lineage: Eukaryota; Metazoa; Chordata; Testudines; Geoemydidae
Description: tRNA-Ile
Source: RNAcentral